AUCUACUUGAGAAUGAGCCUAUCAACUGGUGUCCUGAUCUAGAUCCAACAGGAUUUUUUACUGUCCAUGGACUGCUGCUGUUACAGUGAUUCUGAAUGCUAGAAAGAUUCUUAGCAGAAGAAAAGACCUAGGAAAGUGCCUUAAGGCUUUUAAGUGACUAAGCUGUGGCAAAUGCUGGAUCACAAAUAAGUAACACUGUAAGAACUUAAUGUGUGUCAACAACAUUGCAAGGGAAAUGUGACCUGAUUGCUUAAUGACUGGAGGAAGCAGAAGUGGUACCGCUAUGCAGAACAACGCCAUCUGUGGUGGAACACUUGUUCCUGGAGAUGCCUU
Long non-coding RNA from Bufo bufo (common toad), 333 nucleotides. RefSeq lists it as uncharacterized. The transcript is spliced from 3 exons. NCBI's taxonomy places the organism in Eukaryota, Metazoa, Chordata, Amphibia, Anura, Bufonidae. The record is from RefSeq and is a predicted model, not a curated record.